This 33-nucleotide small RNA is filed under the name Bombyx mori (domestic silkworm). Its description in RNAcentral is "ovarian small RNA-30625". The record is from RNAcentral. Lineage: Eukaryota; Metazoa; Arthropoda; Insecta; Lepidoptera; Bombycidae.
UGAAAUUAGAUGAUGGUGUUACUGUAGAUUGUC